This 111-nucleotide transfer RNA is filed under the name Hypoxylon rubiginosum. Its description in RNAcentral is "tRNA-Ala". It matches the Rfam family "tRNA". Rfam says of the family: Transfer RNA (tRNA) molecules are approximately 80 nucleotides in length. Their secondary structure includes four short double-helical elements and three loops (D, anti-codon, and T loops). Lineage: Eukaryota; Fungi; Ascomycota; Sordariomycetes; Xylariales; Hypoxylaceae. The record is from RNAcentral.
GGGCUUGUGGUUUAGUGGUAUAAUACUCCCUUAGCAUAACCGGAUGGUCUGUUCAGAGCAGCGUCCGUGUAAGCUUGGGAGUGGUCCGGGGUUCGAUUCCCCGCGAGUCCA